RNAcentral lists this ribosomal RNA (28 nucleotides) under Prochlorococcus marinus str. MIT 0911. RNAcentral's name for it is "partial 23S ribosomal RNA". The record is from RNAcentral. RNAcentral also lists the same sequence under 7 other names. Lineage: Bacteria; Bacillati; Cyanobacteriota; Cyanophyceae; Synechococcales; Prochlorococcaceae.
GGUCAAGCUACAAAGGGCUCAUGGCGGA